RNAcentral lists this ribosomal RNA (427 nucleotides) under uncultured beta proteobacterium. RNAcentral describes it as "bacterial SSU rRNA". It matches the Rfam family "Bacterial small subunit ribosomal RNA", at positions 355 to 774 of the family's 1533-position model. Lineage: Bacteria; Pseudomonadati; Pseudomonadota; Betaproteobacteria. The record is from RNAcentral.
UGGGGAAUUUUGGACAAUGGGCGAAAGCCUGAUCCAGCCAUGCCGCGUGAGUGAAGAAGGCCUUCGGGUUGUAAAGCUCCUUUAGUCGGAAAGAAAGAGUCGCAAUGAAUAAUUGUGAUUUAUGACGGUACCGACAGAAAAAGCACCGGCUAACUACGUGCCAGCAGCCGCGGUAAUACGUAGGGUGCGAGCGUUAAUCGGAAUUACUGGGCGUAAAGGGUGCGCAGGCGGUUUUGCAAGUCAGAUGUGAAAGCCCCGGGCUUAACCUGGGAAUUGCGUUUGAAACUACAAGGCUAGAGUGCAGCAGAGGGGAGUGGAAUUCCAUGUGUAGCAGUGAAAUGCGUAGAGAUGUGGAAGAACACCGAUGGCGAAGGCAGCUCCCUGGGUUGACACUGACGCUCAUGCACGAAAGCGUGGGGAGCAAACA